Molecule: ribosomal RNA, 253 nt
Filed under: uncultured bacterium
Lineage: Bacteria
Description: partial 16S ribosomal RNA
Rfam family: Bacterial small subunit ribosomal RNA
Source: RNAcentral
UACGUAGGGACCAAGCGUUGUUCGGAUUUACUGGGCGUAAAGGGCGCGUAGGCGGCGCGGUAAGUCACUUGUGAAAUCUCUGAGCUUAACUCAGAACGGCCAAGUGAUACUGCCGUGCUCGAGGUCGCGAGGGGGAAGCGGAAUUCCCGGUGUAGUGGUGGAAUGCGUAGAUAUCGGGAGGAACACCAGUGGCGAAGGCGGCUUCCUGGCGCGAUUCUGACGCUGAGGUGCGAAAGCGUGGGGAGCGAUCCGG